CAUGCAUGUCUAAGUACACACGAAUUAAAAGUGAAACCGCAAAAGGCUCAUUAUAUCAGUUAUGGUUCAUUAGAUCGUUAACAGUUACUUGGAUAACUGUGGUAAUUCUAGAGCUAAUACAUGCAAUAUAAACACGGACCUUUUGGAACGUGUGCUUUUAUUAGGCUAAAACCAAGCGAUUUUAUUCAAAAUCGUUAUUAUGGUUGAACUCUAGAUAAUUUGCCGAUCGUAUGGUCUCGUACCGACGACAGAUCUUUCAAAUGUCUGCCCUAUCAACUAUUGAUGGUAGUAUCUAGGACUACCAUGGUUGCAACGGGUAACGGGGAAUCAGGGUUCGAUUCCGGAGAGGGAGCCUGAGAAACGGCUACCACAUCUAAGGAAGGCA
This 385-nucleotide ribosomal RNA is filed under the name Merodon equestris. RNAcentral describes it as "SSU rRNA". It matches the Rfam family "Eukaryotic small subunit ribosomal RNA", at positions 50 to 427 of the family's 1831-position model. The record is from RNAcentral. Lineage: Eukaryota; Metazoa; Arthropoda; Insecta; Diptera; Syrphidae.